GGGCUGCAGUCGAGAAUCUUCCCCAAUGGCCGAAAGGCUGAGGGAGCGACGCCGCGUGCAGGAAGACGCUCCUUGGAGUGUAAACUGCUUUUCUCUAGGAAUACGUACGCUGAAGGUACUAGAGGAAUAAGGUGCUGCUAACUUCGUGCCAGCAGCAGCGGUAAUACGAAGGCACCAAGCGUUGUCCGGAUUUAUUGGGCGUAAAGAGUUCAAAGGCGGUUACAUAAGUCGCGAGUUAAAUCAUCAGGCUCAACCUGAUGACUGCUUGCGAUACUGUGCAACUCGAGGAUGGAAGAGGUGAGCGGAACAGCCGGUGUAGUAGUAAAAUGCGUUAAUAUCGGCUGGAACACCAAUGGCGAAGGCAGCUCACUAGUACAUUCCUGACGCUAUAUGAACGAAAGUGUGGGGAGCGAAUGGGAUUAGAUACCCCGGUAGUC
RNAcentral lists this ribosomal RNA (437 nucleotides) under uncultured microorganism. RNAcentral describes it as "bacterial SSU rRNA". It matches the Rfam family "Bacterial small subunit ribosomal RNA", at positions 346 to 795 of the family's 1533-position model. The record is from RNAcentral.